RNAcentral lists this ribosomal RNA (433 nucleotides) under uncultured bacterium. RNAcentral describes it as "partial 16S ribosomal RNA". It matches the Rfam family "Bacterial small subunit ribosomal RNA", at positions 29 to 507 of the family's 1533-position model. The record is from RNAcentral.
AACGAACGCUGGCGGCAUGCCUAACACAUGCAAGUCGAACGAGACCUUCGGGUCUAGUGGCGCACGGGUGCGUAACGCGUGGGAACCUGCCCUUAGGUUCGGAAUAACUCCCCGAAAGGGGUGCUAAUACCGGAUAAUGUCUUCGGACCAAAGAUUUAUCGCCUUUGGAUGGGCCCGCGUUGGAUUAGCUAGUUGGUAGGGUAAAAGCCUACCAAGGCGACGAUCCAUAGCUGGUCUGAGAGGAUGAUCAGCCACACUGGGACUGAGACACGGCCCAGACUCCUACGAGAGGCAGCAGUGGGGAAUAUUGGACAAUGGGCGAAAGCCUGAUCCAGCAAUGCCGCGUGAGUGAUGAAGGCCUUAGGGUUGUAAAGCUCUUUUACCCGGGAUGAUAAUGACAGUACCGGGAGAAUAAGCUCCGGCUAACUCCGUG